Molecule: ribosomal RNA, 429 nt
Filed under: Pseudomonadota bacterium
Lineage: Bacteria; Pseudomonadati; Pseudomonadota
Description: Proteobacteria bacterium partial 16S ribosomal RNA
Rfam family: Bacterial small subunit ribosomal RNA
Source: RNAcentral
UGGGGAAUAUUGGACAAUGGGCGAAAGCCUGAUCCAGCCAUGCCGCGUGUGUGAAGAAGGUCUUCGGAUUGUAAAGCACUUUAAGUUGGGAGGAAGGGCAGUAAGCGAAUACCUUGCUGUUUUGACGUUACCGACAGAAUAAGCACCGGCUAACUCUGUGCCAGCAGCCGCGGUAAUACAGAGGGUGCAAGCGUUAAUCGGAAUUACUGGGCGUAAAGCGCGCGUAGGUGGUUCGUUAAGUUGAAUGUGAAAGCCCCGGGCUCAACCUGGGAACUGCAUCCAAAACUGGCGAGCUAGAGUAGGGCAGAGGGUGGGGGAAUUUCCUGUGUAGCGGUGAAAUGCGUAGAUAUAGGAAGGAACACCAGUGGCGAAGGCGACAACCUGGGCUCAUACUGACACUGAGGUGCGAAAGCGUGGGGAGCAAACAGG